GUGUCAGCCGCCGCGGUAGUACGGAGGGUGCGAGCGUUAAUCGGAAUUACUGGGCGUAAAGCGCGCGUAGGCGGUCUGGUCAGUCAGAUGUGAAAGCCCCGGGCUUAACCUGGGAAUUGCAUUUGAAACUGCCAGGCUAGAGUGUGGUAGAGGGAAGUGGAAUUCCGCGUGGAGCGGUGAAAUGCGUAGAGAUGCGGAGGAACACCAGUGGCGAAGGCGACUUCCUGGACCAACACUGACGCUCAGGUGCGAAAGCGUGGGGAGCAAACAGGAUUAGAUACCCUGGUAGUCCACGCCGUAACGAUGUCUACUAGCCGUCGGGGAGCUUGUCUCCAUGGUGGCGCAGCUAACGCGUUAAGUAGACCGCCUGGGGAGUACGGUCGCAAGACUAAA
Molecule: ribosomal RNA, 393 nt
Filed under: uncultured bacterium
Lineage: Bacteria
Description: bacterial SSU rRNA
Rfam family: Bacterial small subunit ribosomal RNA
Source: RNAcentral